RNAcentral lists this ribosomal RNA (468 nucleotides) under uncultured bacterium. RNAcentral describes it as "partial 16S ribosomal RNA". It matches the Rfam family "Bacterial small subunit ribosomal RNA", at positions 28 to 507 of the family's 1533-position model. The record is from RNAcentral.
GACGAACGCUGGCGGCGUGCUUAACACAUGCAAGUCGAACGGAAAGGCCCUGCUUUUGUGGGGUGCUCGAGUGGCGAACGGGUGAGUAACACGUGAGUAACCUGCCCUUGACUUUGGGAUAACUUCAGGAAACUGGGGCUAAUACCGGAUAGGAGCUCCUGCUGCAUGGUGGGGGUUGGAAAGUUUCGGCGGUUGGGGAUAGACUCGCGGCUUAUCAGCUUGUUGGUGGGGUAGUGGCUUACCAAGGCUUUGACGGGUAGCCGGCCUGAGAGGGUGACCGGCCACAUUGGGACUGAGAUACGGCCCAGACUCCUACGGGAGGCAGCAGUGGGGAAUAUUGCACAAUGGGCGGAAGCCUGAUGCAGCAACGCCGCGUGCGGGAUGACGGCCUUCAGGUUGUAAACCGCUUUCGCCUGUGACGAAGCGUGAGUGACGGUAAUGGGUAAAGAAGCACCGGCUAACUACGUG